UUUAUUUUGCACGGGCAUACCGUAAACUAAAUGAUGAUCGUCUGUUGGCAAUUGGCUAGAAAGAGACUUCUCAGGUAUUUCCACUUCUCUAGUUCUUGCUUAUUUUUCUUCAUCUGGCACUGGCAUAUCUGAGUUAUGACCCAAACUUUACUGACAACAUGGAGGAGGAUAUUGAUGAUGAAGGUCAUGAAGAGGAGGAGGAUGAGUAUGUGGCUAUGUGGUUCACUUAAUUGCCUGUAUGGUAUUCAUAUUUGCACAAUAUUUUUCUUGUUUAUAAUGUCAUAUAUGCAAUAUUAUUUUCCAGCGAGAGUGCAAAUGAAUAUACAGUCAUACAGAUGAUGAAGAUGCCAGCUGGAAAGUUAUGUAACCUAUGUCAUUAUGUAACUGUCAUACCCUAAUUUUGUCCUACCUAUUCCAUAAAUUAUUUUUCAUCUCAUUCUCAUA
This 444-nucleotide long non-coding RNA is filed under the name Trifolium pratense (red clover). Its description in RNAcentral is "long non-coding RNA (TPRA_LNC000895)". Lineage: Eukaryota; Viridiplantae; Streptophyta; Magnoliopsida; Fabales; Fabaceae. The record is from RNAcentral.